UCAGGCCUAACACAUGCAAGUCGAACGGUAACGCGGGGCAACCUGGCGACGAGUGGCGAACGGGUGAGUAAUGCAUCGGAACGUGCCCAAUCGUGGGGGAUAACGUAGAGAAAUUUACGCUAAUACCGCAUGAGAUCUAAGGAUGAAAGCAGGGGAUCGCAAGACCCUGCGCGAUUGGAGCGGCUGAUGUCAGAUUAGGUAGUUGGUGGGGUAAAGGCCUACCAAGCCGACGAUCUGUAGCUGGUUUGAGAGAACGACCAGCCACACUGGGACUGAGACACGGCCCAGACUCCUACGGGAGGCAGCAGUGGGGAAUUUUGGACAAUGGGCGCAAGCCUGAUCCAGCAAUGCCGCGUGCAGGAAGAAGGCCUUCGGGUUGUAAACUGCUUUUGUACGGAACGAAACGGUCCUGGUUAAUACCCGGGGCUAAUGAC
RNAcentral lists this ribosomal RNA (434 nucleotides) under uncultured bacterium. RNAcentral describes it as "bacterial SSU rRNA". It matches the Rfam family "Bacterial small subunit ribosomal RNA", at positions 42 to 473 of the family's 1533-position model. The record is from RNAcentral.